Molecule: ribosomal RNA, 376 nt
Filed under: uncultured organism
Description: partial 16S ribosomal RNA
Rfam family: Bacterial small subunit ribosomal RNA
Source: RNAcentral
GUAGGGGGCAAGCGUUGUCCGGAUUUAUUGGGCGUAAAGAGCUCGUAGGCGGCUUAGCAAGUCGGUCGUGAAAUACCGAGGCUCAACCUCGGAACGCCGGUCGAAACUGCUAUGGCUAGGGUCCGGUAGAGGAGAGUGGAAUUCCCGGUGUAGCGGUGAAAUGCGCAGAUAUCGGGAGGAACACCAGUAGCGAAGGCGGCUCUCUGGGCCGGUACCGACGCUGAGGAGCGAAAGCGUGGGGAGCAAACAGGAUUAGAUACCCUGGUAGUCCACGCCGUAAACGAUGGGCACUAGGUGUGGCAAGUUCGUCAAUGCUUGCCCGUGCCGUAGCUAACGCAUUAAGUGCCCCCGCCUGGGGAGUACGGUCGCAAGGCUA